AACGAACGCUGGCGGCAGGCCUAACACAUGCAAGUCGAGCGAGGACUUCGGUCCUAGCGGCGGACGGGUGAGUAACGCGUGGGAACGUGCCCUUUGCUUCGGAAUAGCCCUGGGAAACUGGGAGUAAUACCGGAUGAGCCCUUUGGGGGAAAGAUUUAUCGGCGAAGGAUCGGCCCGCGUUGGAUUAGGUAGUUGGUGGGGUAAUGGCCUACCAAGCCGACGAUCCAUAGCUGGUUUGAGAGGGUGAUCAGCCACACUGGGACUGAGACACGGCCCAGACUCCUACGGGAGGCAGCAGUGGGGAAUCUUAGACAAUGGGGGAAACCCUGAUCUAGCCAUGCCGCGUGAGCGAUGAAGGCCUUAGGGUUGUAAAGCUCUUUCAGCUGGGAAGAUAAUGACGGUACCAGCAGAAGAAGCCCCGGCUAACUCCGUG
This 433-nucleotide ribosomal RNA is filed under the name uncultured bacterium. RNAcentral describes it as "partial 16S ribosomal RNA". It matches the Rfam family "Bacterial small subunit ribosomal RNA", at positions 29 to 507 of the family's 1533-position model. The record is from RNAcentral.